This 1889-nucleotide long non-coding RNA is filed under the name Pongo abelii (Sumatran orangutan). RNAcentral's name for it is "lincRNA". The record is from RNAcentral. Lineage: Eukaryota; Metazoa; Chordata; Mammalia; Primates; Hominidae.
ACUCAGCCCGAUUCCAAAAGCCCAGGGGGUGGGCCUCGCCCUUCCUCUCCCUCCAGGUUUAAUUAUCUGAAGAGUCUUGGACUUUCAUUUCUUGUUUUUUGUUUGUUUGCUUGUUUGUUUGCACCUGGUUGAUGUAUAAGUCUUGGACUUUGGGAGACCCAAAAGAGAAAGAAGGUGUUGGCAAUAUCCUUGAAGAGACUAAAAGAUCUCAGAACAACACUGAACAAGCCAGCAGAGCCAUCGACUCACCCCUACAGUCUCCAUAGACAGACUCCAUGAAAGCAUUGGCUAUCGGCUCUCACUGGUUUCUGCCCCAAAUUCACACGCUCCCUCCUAUCACCAAAGCCACCUGCCACCGCUGGCCUCCUGCAUGCUGUGGGAGGAGAGCAGGGCAGACAACGUUGCCUCCCCUGACUCCCAUCGCGCGGGCUUGUGAGUCCAUGGAGUGCAGAUGUCCAGGGAACUAUCUGAUGCAGCGUGAAGGGAAGGUGAUGCAGUGGCAUCCCACCUUGAGAUGAGAGAAAGCUGUUCUGGGCUUCCGGUGAUUGGCAACUGAGGUCACUCCUUUGCCCAUACCCCCUCCCCAAGACUGUUUCCAGUGCCCCAAGUUCACCUCAAGGAUCACUGCACAGCAGAAGUGAGUUUUACUUAGGUUGAGACACUCACAUAUAGGGAAUGCAGAAUAAAUCCCAUCCCUUCCUCAGCCAACAGGGGCAAGGCCCUGAGAAGGAGAACAUCAUGUAGGUACAGGCCAACCCCAGGGGCCUCUCACAGGGCCCUCUUCAUCAUCACUCACCUCUCUAUUCAGCAAACACUCAAUGAGACAACCAUGGACCCUAGGGAUGCAACAGUGAAGGAGACGCAGCCUUUCAACACCUGGCAGGGCAGAGACACUUCAACAGUCAUUGCCAGCCCCAGUGGACAAUGGAAGGAGGCCACCAGCCAAGAAAUGCUGUCAGUGCCUGGAAGCUGGAAAGGCAAUGAAAUGGAUUUUCCCCGGAACCUCCAGGGAGAAUAUAGCACAGCCUCUACCUUGAUUUUCACCCAGUGAGACACAUUUUGGAUUUCUGACCUACAGAAUUGUAAGGCUGCCUGGAUCCCCACAGUUUGUCUGGAAAGCCUCUUGAGAUGGGAUUAUAUGCUCCGAGGAUCCCAGGAGGAAGGAUGGGGCAACAGCAGACUAAACUACGCCUCUGCAGCAGCUGUACCGUUGUCCUGGGAGUGAGCCCCAGCUGUGGCUCAAGGCACACGUGCCUCCAGAGGACAAUCUGGGAUGCUCAGGGGACAGAGAGGCAGAGGGACUAUCAGGGUGAAGCUGUCUUUUUCAUUUCUUUGGCGCUCAGCCCAGGGCCUGGAUUUAUCCUGCACAAAAUGAACAAUGCAGGGCCCUUCAUCUGGGGAAAGGCUAACAGGGGCACCCAAGCGGAGCUAGGAGGUCCAGGUCCUCCAGUGGCAGGGAGGGAGGGAGCUCCUUUCCAGGUGCCUUCUUUCCUAGAUAAAGGAUCUUGGUGACUCAUCUCCCAGUUCAACUGUAAAGGCUAAGGGGCUCCUUGAAGUUUCCUUCCUUAUGAAAAUGUCCAUAGCAAGUUUGUCACUUAGGAAUGUUUUUCAAUGAUGGGAAACAGAAGAGUCAACUAGUAGGAGAUGAAAUAAGUUGAGAUUUUUUUUUAAUAGCAAGAAGUCUGGAUAUUGUCAGUAGCCAGCAUUGGUUUAGGACACAAUAAUAUUGGGAACGAUCUCCUGUAUUUUUCUCGGCCUUUUUCUUAGAGUCAAAAUGUGGAUGCCAUGGCUCAAGGUAUCACAUCCCUAUUCAAGGCAGGAUAUAGGAGGAAGGGAUGGUGCCAGAUACAUCUGUCCCAUUUAUUAAAAAGCAAGCUUCUCCAAAACCC